GUCUUAAGUAAGUUCCCAGAAGCGACUGUAGUUCCUUCGCAUAAUCUCGUUCUGUUUCCAGAAUAUUUUGCAACACCACAGGGUAAUAAUUCUUUGUCAGCUGAGUGCUUUCAAGUCCUUUUAAUGCUUUGGGAGAGAGUGGUUUAUCGGUGGAUUUGAUUUCUCUGACGUAGUUGCUUGGGAACCAGCCUGUUUUUCCAUUCAAGGUCCCUUCCCACCAGCCCCCUUCCUCAACCCGGGUGACAUAAAUAAUGUCUCCUUUGUUAACGGAGAGUUCAUCCUCAUUGGUCUGCUUAAAGUUGAAC
RNAcentral lists this long non-coding RNA (305 nucleotides) under Gallus gallus (chicken). The record is from RNAcentral. Lineage: Eukaryota; Metazoa; Chordata; Aves; Galliformes; Phasianidae.